UUAUAAUUUUAUUAUUUUUAUUAUUUAUUUUUGUAUAUUAAUUAUUUUUUUUUAGUAAUACUUUGAAAUUAAUUUUUAUUAUAAACUGUAUAGGUUUAAUAUUUAUAUUAAUGAAUUAUUAUUAGUACCUUUUGUAUCAGGGUUACUUAAAUAAUAAAUCUAUAUUUUUUUCCCGAAAUGAAAAUAUCUAAUUUUAUUAUGUUUUUCUUGUUUCAUAAAGUUAAUUAAAUUAAAUUUAGUAAUUAAAAGUUAAUCGUUUUUCAUAAUAUCUGGUUAAUCAGGAUUUAAUUUAAUUAUAGAUUAAAUGUUUAUAAUAAAAAUAUUGUUUUUUUAAUCUUAUUUAAUACUGGAUAAUCUGUAUUAUUUAUUAAAAUUUUAUUUUUUAAUUAAAUUUAAUUUUUUUAUAAUCUUAUAUUGAGUUCGUAAUAGAUUAAUUUAAUUUAUUUAUAAUUUUGUUAUAUUUAAUUUUAUACUGGUUUUAUUUAACUAAUUAUUUUUUAUUUUUAAUAAUGAGUGAAUUAGUAUAAUUAUUAAUUUUUUUAUAUGAAUUCGACAAAGUUAAUUUUCAACUGUUUAUCAAAAACAUUUCUUUUAGAUUAUAUUAAAGGUAAUUUCUGCCCAAUGAUUAAUUUUAAAUGGCUGCAGUAUUUUGACUGUACAAAGGUAGCAUAAUAAUUAGUCUUUUAAUUGGAGACUAGAAUGAAGGAAAAAAUGAAAAAUUUAUUUUAUUUAAUUAAUUAUUAAAAUUUAAUUUUUAAGUUAAAAAGCUUAAUUUUUUUAUAGGGACGAUAAGACCCUAUAGAACUUUACAGUUUAAAAAUUAAGCUUUAGUUUAUUAUUUAAUUUUAAUUUGUUUUAUUGGGGUGAUAAAUAAAUUUAAGCUACUUUAUUUUAUAAUUUCAUUAAUUAGUGUUUUUAUGUUCCAUUUUUAUAUGAUUAUAAGUUUAAGUUACCUUAGGGAUAACAGCGUAAUUUUAAUGGGGAGUUCAUAUCUAUAUUAAAGUUUGCGACCUCGAUGUUGAAUUAAGAAAAGAUUAAGGGGUAGGUUCUUUAUAUUCUAAGUCUGUUCGACUUUUAAAUUCUUACAUGAUUUGAGUUCAAACCGGUGUAAGCCAGGUUGGUUUCUAUCUUAUAAUUAUAUGUUAAUUUAGUACGAAAGGACCAAUUAAUCCAAUUUUAUAUUGAUAUUUUU
This 1192-nucleotide ribosomal RNA is filed under the name Oncopsis nigrofasciata. Its description in RNAcentral is "16S ribosomal RNA". Lineage: Eukaryota; Metazoa; Arthropoda; Insecta; Hemiptera; Cicadellidae. The record is from RNAcentral.